Small nuclear RNA from Myodes glareolus (Bank vole), 104 nucleotides. Lineage: Eukaryota; Metazoa; Chordata; Mammalia; Rodentia; Cricetidae. The record is from RefSeq and is a predicted model, not a curated record.
GCUCCCUUCGGCAGCACCUACACUAAAGCUGGAAGGAUACAGAGAAGAUCAGCACGGCCCCUGCAUAGGAUGACGUGCAAAUUCAUGAAACAGUCCAAGUUUUA